AACUUUUGGCAAUGGAUCUCUUGGCUCUCGCAUCGAUGAAGAACGCAGCGAAAUGCGAUACGAAAUGUGAAUUGCAGAAUUCAGUGAAUCAUCGAAUCUUUGAACGCACCUUGCGCCCCUUGGAAUUCCGAGGGGCACACCCGUUUGAGUGUCGUGAACAUCCUUCAACCUUUCUUGGUUUCUUAACCGGGGAAGGCUUGGACUUUGGGGGUCUUUCAUUGCUGGCCUCUUUGAAGCCAGCUCCUCCUAAAUGGAUUAGUGUGGUCUGCUUUGCCGAUCCUUGACGUGAUAAGAUGUUUCUACGUCUUGGGUUUCGCACUGUCGCUUUAGACCCCGCUUCUAACCGUCUUGCAUUCAAGACAGAGUUUUAAACCUUGACCUCAAAUCGGGUGAGACUACCCGCUGAACUUAAGCAUAUCAAUAAGCGGAGGCU
Molecule: unclassified non-coding RNA, 433 nt
Filed under: uncultured Russula
Lineage: Eukaryota; Fungi; Basidiomycota; Agaricomycetes; Russulales; Russulaceae
Description: sequence contains ITS2
Rfam family: 5.8S ribosomal RNA (bases 1-154)
Source: RNAcentral